AGAGUUUGAUCCUGGCUCAGGAUGAACGCUGGCGGCGUGCUUAACACAUGCAAGUCGAACGGGGAUUAUUUUAACAGAGACUUCGGUUGAAGUUGCUAUAAUCCUAGUGGCGGACGGGUGAGUAACGCGUGGGUAACCUGCCUUGUACUGGGGGAUAACAGCCAGAAAUGGCUGCUAAUACCGCAUAAGCGCACAGAGCUGCUUGGCUCAGUGCGAAAAACUCCGGUGGUAUAAGAUGGACCCGCGUUGGAUUAGCUAGUUGGCAGGGCAGCGGCCUACCAAGGCGACGAUCCAUAGCCGGCCUGAGAGGGUGAACGGCCACAUUGUGACUGAGACACGGCCCAGACUCCUACGGGAGGCAGCAGUGGGGAAUAUUGCACAAUGGGGGAAACCCUGAUGCAGCGACGCCGCGUGAAGGAAGAAGUAUCUCGGUAUGUAAACUCCUAUCAGCAGGGAAGAUAAUGACGGUACCUGACUAAGAAGCCCCGGCUAACUACGUGCCAGCAGCCGCGGUAAUACGUAGGGGGCAAGCGUUAUCCGGAUUUACUGGGUGUAAAGGGAGCGUAGACGGCUAAGCAAGUCUGAUGUGAAAGGCUGGGGCUCAACCCCGGGACUGCAUUGGAAACUGUUUGGCUUGAGUGCCGGAGGGGUAAGCGGAAUUCCUAGUGUAGCGGUGAAAUGCGUAGAUAUUAGGAGGAACACCAGUGGCGAAGGCGGCUUACUGGACGGUAACUGACGUUGAGGCUCGAAAGCGUGGGGAGCAAACAGGAUUAGGUACCCUGGUAGUCCAUGCCGUAAACGAUGAUUACUAGGGUGUUGGAGGAUUGACCCCUUCAGUGCCGCAGUUAACACAAUAAGUAAUCCACCUGGGGAGUACGACCGCAAGGUUGAAACUCAAAGGAAUUGACGGGGGCCCGCACAAGUAGUGGAGUAUGUGGUUUAAUUCGAAGCAACGCGAAGAACCUUACCAGGUCUUGACAUCCGAUGCAUAGUGCAGAGAUGCAUGAAGUCCUACGGGACAUCGAGACAGGUGGUGCAUGGUUGUCGUCAGCUCGUGUCGUGAGAUGUUGGGUUAAGUCCCGCAACGAGCGCAACCCUUAUUGCCAGUUACUACGCAAGAGGACUCUGGCGAGACUGCCGUUGACAAAACGGAGGAAGGUGGGGAUGACGUCAAAUCAUCAUGCCCUUUAUGACCUGGGCUACACACGUACUACAAUGGCGUUUAACAAAGAGAAGCAAGACCGCGAGGUGGAGCAAAACUCAGAAACAACGUCUCAGUUCAGAUUGCAGGCUGCAACUCGCCUGCAUGAAGUCGGAAUUGCUAGUAAUCGCGGAUCAGCAUGCCGCGGUGAAUACAUUCCCGGGCCUUGCACACACCGCCCGUCA
Molecule: ribosomal RNA, 1386 nt
Filed under: uncultured bacterium
Lineage: Bacteria
Description: 16S ribosomal RNA
Rfam family: Bacterial small subunit ribosomal RNA
Source: RNAcentral